Molecule: long non-coding RNA, 1278 nt
Filed under: Bemisia tabaci
Lineage: Eukaryota; Metazoa; Arthropoda; Insecta; Hemiptera; Aleyrodidae
Description: lncRNA ENSASIAIIG009174
Source: RNAcentral
UUUGUGCAGUACCCUCACCCCUUGAUUUUUCGCGUGCCAUAAUCCGUUUUUCGAAUAAUCAUCUACCAAAAAAGUUAUCCCAAUUUCAAAUCCGGGAACGCUUGUGACGUCAUUUUUCGAAGACGUCCCAGUUAGCAUUUUAUCUUCGGAGAAAAACCCUGAAAAAUCCCGCGCCUACGCAUCGUUUAAAAAUAUUAUGACAAUAUCUUCACAAAAACUAAACUAAAUAAAUUUUGUGAGGAUAUUUUGAAAAUGUUAUGAGAAUAUCCCGUCCGCAGUUGCACGGGUUACAUAAUCGCCCAUUUGAAGGCGCUACAAAAACUGCUCGCUUUCUGGUGGCGCUUGUCAAGUGUCAACAUGUCAACUCACAACAAAACAAUCGUAGCGCCGGCCACUGGAAAUCAUGUUGUGUCCUCUUUUAGUGGACAAACCUGUUAUUUCUGUUUCCCUUCAUUCCUGUUGGUUCAAUCACAAUGGCAACAACAUCAAUUGUAAAUGUGAUAAGCUCCCAAUAGUCAAGGUAUCUUCGUCUGGGGUUACAAUGAAUUGGAAUCGAUAAAUCCCAACAAGAAAUAAUUUCUCGUAAAUGUAUGUCUGCUGCUUUGUACCAAAUUUAAUUAUUUUCAAGAGUGUUUCAAAGAUUCUCAAAAACUGUUGAACUACCUGCUAGUAUUCAUUUAUUUUGUUCCUAUGAUUGCUACUACAUUUUAAAUACUGAGUAUGAAUAAAGCUUCUUUUGUUCUUGAAAUUUUGCUUUCAACGACUGUUUUCCAAUCGUACCUACUGUUUAAUUCCAUGGAAAAUGGAGAUAGGUACCAAUGCAUAUCAUGUGUAAAAAAGGAAUCAUACAAAUAAGUAUUCUCUUUUAACAGCUAAAACCAUGCCCUUUUCAAGGCAAGCUGGUCGACAGCAGCUCAGUUUGGUAUUACGUAUGCAAAUAAUCUCGUUUUGAAUCUCUCUGAAAAAAUUUUAUACCUAACUUUUUACGUAUAAAAUGAGUCAGCUACAGCCAUACAAGUAGGUGUCAAAUUGCAAUGCCAUGCAACAUGAAAGAAUCGCAAAAUUUUGAGAAAAAAUAUUGUUCAUUGAUACUUGCAACGUCUUGAUGCAAUCGUGUUUUCAUGGAUUUGAAUGUUGUUUUUAACGACGAAUUUUCAUCUUAAAAUUUCGGCUAUUGAAAGGAAACACCUGUUUUUUAUCCAUCCUAGUGGUUUUCGAUUAUACGCAUGUUUUUUCUGCUUUCCUCAAGGACAACAGAAAAACAUAUCGCUUCCCUUU